This is a long non-coding RNA of Tympanuchus pallidicinctus (lesser prairie-chicken), 880 nucleotides long. RefSeq lists it as uncharacterized. The record is from RefSeq and is a predicted model, not a curated record. The transcript has 2 exons. NCBI's taxonomy places the organism in Eukaryota, Metazoa, Chordata, Aves, Galliformes, Phasianidae.
GGAAUGCGACCGAGCUCGCCGACGGCGAAUCCUGGCUGCUGUGGCUUUUAGCGCUGUGUGAAAACGCGUUCUAAACCACGAGAAGUCUCAAAAUAGCGGGAUCUCAAAGGCAGGAAGAGAAGGAUGAUCCGGUAGAAUCAGAGACGGGCCGCUCGUUUAGUUGAGAAAGGCAGAGGAAGUUCACCGGCGAAGGAAUCCUUAGAGUUGGAAGGGACCCUUAAAGCCCAUCUGGUCCAACUCCCCUGCAGCGAACAAGGACACCCACAGCUCCAUCAGGUACUCAGGGCCUGUCCAACCUGACCUUGUGCACCUCCAGGAAUGGGGCACCAGCACCUCCCUGGGCAACCUGUGCCAGUCCCUCACCACCCACACUGUAAAAGACUUUUUCCUUACAUCCAACCUAAAUCUACCCUCUUUAGGCUUAAAACCAUCUCCCCUUGUUGUGUCACAACAGACCAUGCUGAAGAGCCUGUCCCCUUCUUUCCUGCAGCUAAUGAAGUGUUCCAGAUGUUCCAGAUGGAAUCAUUUCAGCCCUUUAUAUAAUGUCAUAUCAGGAGAGUAAUGGAUGACGAGAAUUUAAGGUCGUUGUAGUUUUUACGGGGUUAUUAUUUUAAAUGUCCCUUAGCUUUAAGCUAUUUCCAUCUUACUAGAUGUGCAUUAGUUGAGGAACCUGUUGAAUCUGAUUAGCAUUGCAAGUAUGUAAUAAGCUUUUGUGCUUUUUCUUGUAUUUCAGUAUUUUUCCCCUGCAUUAUUCGUUUAUAUGAGGGCUCAGGGGAAGUUUUCUUCUGUGUUUUAUGCUUGGUUUGCUUUACUCUCAUAGAAAUUUUAGCAAGAUGUGUAUGACGUUUGGUUGCACAAAUAAAUUUUUUUUUUUUCCUGA